Molecule: long non-coding RNA, 2402 nt
Organism: Magnolia sinica
Lineage: Eukaryota; Viridiplantae; Streptophyta; Magnoliopsida; Magnoliales; Magnoliaceae
Exons: 6
Source: RefSeq, a predicted model, not a curated record
AUUAACUUGUUUUGUAGCAACAUCUUUCCAAAAAAUAUACUAAUGCAUAGUAAAUCUAUACCAUAAAAGGUAACCCCACUACCAAGAUCAUAUCAUGUAAAAAAAUCAGGUGGGUUUGAUCAUCAAGUGUCAUCUCACACACAUUAGAAUCAAUGAACAACUGAUAGACUGACUAAACAUUCAUUCAUGUUCUAAUAUUGAUGAGUCCAUCAGCCAUAUUUUAAUUAGAUAGGUGAUCUUUAUGGUGGGACCUAUCAUUUUCAUGGUAUAGAUUUUCUUCACAUGUGCAAUGUUGGCAAUAAAAAUAAUGUUGCAUAAGUUAUCAUAUUACAGACUACCUAGCCGGGACGAGACUGAUAUUGAUAGUGAUGAAAUAAAAAUUUGAGAGAGCAAACCUUUAUGCACACACCAAGCUUGCGACUGCAGAUGCAGCAAAUUAGCAGGUUUCUUUCCCUAGUAACAGCCUCCUGAUAGAGAAGCAUUAAAUACAGUUAAGGACUUCACAUGAGAACAACAGUGUACAAAGUAAACAACUCAGAUAGGUUGUAAGCUCAGUGCAUCGUGCUAGACCGUUUAGCCAACACAGAACCAUGAAAGAAACAUUCAUAUCAACAAUUCUAAACAAACACAUACCAUGAUGAGCAGCAACAAUCUCGUCAUGUGCAUCUUUCCUGAAAGUUGAAACCCUUGAAGAAGUAGCAGCAGCAGCAGUUGCAGCAGCAAGCACAGCCUGAGCUUCUCUGUGCCUUCUCUCUUUCCUACCCUGUUUCUUUGCUUCCUUGACCUCAUAGAGGAACUGUUUGGCAAGUACUGCAUCGCAUCUUUGUUUCCUCAGUUGCAUCUAAUGGCUUUUGGGAGAUCAUUUAAUGUCUGUGUUGGCCAAACGGUGAGUUGUGUACUUUUCAUUCAUUUUCUGAGAGACAUUUUUAGAAUGCUUAAUGGUUAAUUACAAGAGUUUUCCUAUAAAACGUAUUAGUAAUGGCUUCUUCUACUACCAUCUGAGGACCUCAAAGGCCCAACUAACUUGAGAUUUUUAUAUGCAGGCCGAUGUAUUUUUAGCCCCACAGAUCAAUGUUGCCACUGCAAGGUUCAAUAUUGAAAUGUGAUUAUCAGAAGCAGUGGGCCAUCAUUGAAAGAUUACCCUUGUAGUGAGUCCAGGAAAUAGUGGCGGCAGGUGGAGAAGAACAGAGUGUGUGCUAUGUUAGACCGAAUGGCUUUUGGGAGAUCAUUUAAUGUCUGUUGCUGUUUCAGUCCUGUUUUGAACCUUAGAUAUAUGUGGGACAGCAUUUGAUCCUCUAUGCGCCAUGGCGACUGAUUUCGAGCUGCGAAUUCAAAAGCAGCUCGAACAGUGUCCCUCUAUGAAGAAGAAAAAGAAAAAAAGAAAAAGCCAAGCAAAACAAAAGCAAUACCAGUCAGCAGCAACAUAGAUAUCCAAACAAGGCAAAGGAUGGGCCACACAAUGAAGAUCGUGUUCCUUGAAAAUCAGUCCAUUCAGAAUAUUCAGGGGAACCCCACUUAAAAACAGUUAAAACUGUGAGUUACUGCUACAGAUUCUCCAACUCAUGUGCAAAGUCGCCAGGGACUUGGAUUGGCACCAUCUUCUGACUUUUAUAAACAUCUUAGCCUCUUCUACUUGGGUUCCUCUUCUUAUUCACUUCUAUAGAUAUGUAUUAGUUUCUCUCUGUUAUAAUUUGGGAUUGGAUUUUAUUUUUUUUUUCCCCUUCAUUUGGUGCAUCAUAUGCAGAUAUUGGAAGGACUUCUUAAAUUGCCAGAGAACAGGGAAUGUGCUGACUGCAAAAUCAAAGGUCCGCGAUGGGCAAGUGUCAAUGUGGGAAUCUUCAUCUGCAUGCAGUGUUCUGGAAUCCACAGAAGUCUAGGAGUACACAUUUCAAAGUUCUUCCUUCAAUUUACUGAAGCUUCUUCCAGUGAAGGGAACACCAUCCUUAAUGCUUGGUAACUUAGCCCCUUAGGAGCUCCUAACAUUGAAAUCACCCUCCUUGGUAGCUAAACCUCUUUUCAGGUCUUCUAUAUAGGUUAUUGAUUUUUGAGCUUGUACCAUUUCUUGCUUCUUCCACUAGUGCCGUCAGCUACACCUAUGCAAUUAAAGCAAGGCCUAAAUGUUGUUUAGGGAGUAAAGCUUCCAUGAAUGACUGAUUCUCCUGGUGAUAGCCGGUUUCUCGAAUAGAUACCCCACCUAGUUGUAGCUCUUUCUGAACUCCUGUAUCAAAGUUAUGAUUUCAAAUCCACUUUGUUCCAUAGAGACUAAAAUCCACUUGAUUUCAAAUCCGCAUUGCCAAACCAGCCUUUAUAGUUUGGAUCAAGAGAAUACUUUGGAAAUGAAUUCUGACUAUAUGGAAAUUGAGUUAGCCACUGUUAGUGAAAAAACAGCUGUGAAUUUGAUU